Lophium mytilinum is the source of this 110-nucleotide non-coding RNA. The record is from the annotation of a GenBank genome assembly. Lineage: Eukaryota; Fungi; Ascomycota; Dothideomycetes; Mytilinidiales; Mytilinidiaceae.
UCCGGUGUGGUGUAGUUGGCUAGCAUAUGCCAGAGGAGGACGGCAGCCCUGUAUAGACAGGGAAAUGUGCCGUGUUGGGCAAGACCCAAGUUCGAUCCUUGGCGCCGAAA